GGCCCUUUCCGGGCGGGCCUACCAUGCAAGUCGAGGGGUAGAGUUAGCUUGCUAACUUGAGACCGGCGCACGGGUGCGUAACGCGUAUGCAAUCUACCUUGUACAGGGGGAUAGCCCAGAGAAAUUUGGAUUAAUACCCCAUGGUGUUUAGAAGUGGCAUCACUUUUUUACUAAAGUUCCAACGGUACAAGAUGAGCAUGCGUCCCAUUAGCUAGUUGGUAUGGUAACGGCAUACCAAGGCUAUGAUGGGUAGGGGUCCUGAGAGGGAGAUCCCCCACACUGGUACUGAGACACGGACCAGACUCCUACGGGAGGCAGCAGUGAGGAAUAUUGGUCAAUGGUCGCAAGACUGAACCAGCCAUGCCGCGUGCAGGAAGACGGUCCUAUGGAUUGUAAACUGCUUUUAUACAGGAAGAAACCCUCUCACGUGUGGGAGCUUGACGGUACUGUAUGAAUAAGCAUCGGCUAACUCCGUGCCAGCAGCCGCGGUAAUACGGAGGAUGCGAGCGUUAUCCGGAAUCAUUGGGUUUAAAGGGUCCGUAGGCGGUUUAAUAAGUCAGUGGUGAAAUCUGGUCGCUCAACGAUCAAACUGCCAUUGAUACUGUUAGACUUGAAUAAUUGUGAAGUAACUAGAAUAUGUAGUGAAGCGGUGAAAUGCUU
This 660-nucleotide ribosomal RNA is filed under the name Flavobacterium indicum. RNAcentral describes it as "bacterial SSU rRNA". It matches the Rfam family "Bacterial small subunit ribosomal RNA", at positions 32 to 691 of the family's 1533-position model. Lineage: Bacteria; Pseudomonadati; Bacteroidota; Flavobacteriia; Flavobacteriales; Flavobacteriaceae. The record is from RNAcentral.